RNAcentral lists this transfer RNA (72 nucleotides) under Bryopsis hypnoides. Its description in RNAcentral is "tRNA-Asp". The record is from RNAcentral. Lineage: Eukaryota; Viridiplantae; Chlorophyta; Ulvophyceae; Bryopsidales; Bryopsidaceae.
CGCCGUUGCCGGGAAUUGAACCCGGGUCUCCUGCGUGACAGGCAGGAAUACUGACCACUAUACUACAACGAC